UCUGACGGAGCACGCCGCGUGAGUGAUGAAGGCUUUCGGGUCGUAAAACUCUGUUGUUAGGGAAGAACAAGUGCUAGUUGAAUAAGCUGGCACCUUGACGGUACCUAACCAGAAAGCCACGGCUAACUACGUGCCAGCAGCCGCGGUAAUACGUAGGUGGCAAGCGUUAUCCGGAAUUAUUGGGCGUAAAGCGCGCGCAGGUGGUUUCUUAAGUCUGAUGUGAAAGCCCACGGCUCAACCGUGGAGGGUCAUUGGAAACUGGGAGACUUGAGUGCAGAAGAGGAAAGUGGAAUUCCAUGUGUAGCGGUGAAAUGCGUAGAGAUAUGGAGGAACACCAGUGGCGAAGGCGACUUUCUGGUCUGUAACUGACACUGAGGCGCGAAAGCGUGGGGAGCAAACAGGAUUAGAUACCCUGGUAGUCCACGCCGUAAACGAUGAGUGCUAAGUGUUAGAGGGUUUCCGCCCUUUAGUGCUGAAGUUAACGCAUUAAGCACUCCGCCUGGGGAGUACGGCCGCAAGGCUGAAACUCAAGGUUUUUCCGGGGGAA
Molecule: ribosomal RNA, 547 nt
Filed under: bacterium MC194
Lineage: Bacteria
Description: bacterial SSU rRNA
Rfam family: Bacterial small subunit ribosomal RNA
Source: RNAcentral